AUUGAACGCUGGCGGCAUGCUUUACACGCAAGUCGAACGGCAGCACGGACUUCGGUCUGGUGGCGAGUGGCGAACGGGUGAGUAAUGCAUCGGAAUGUACCGUGUAAUGGGGGAUAACUAGCCGAAAGGAUAGCUAAUACCGCAUACGCCCCGAGGGGGAAAGCAGGGGAUCUUCGGACCUUGCGUUAUACGAGCAGCCG
RNAcentral lists this ribosomal RNA (200 nucleotides) under uncultured bacterium. RNAcentral's name for it is "partial 16S ribosomal RNA". It matches the Rfam family "Bacterial small subunit ribosomal RNA", at positions 30 to 232 of the family's 1533-position model. The record is from RNAcentral.